GAUGAACGCUGGCGGCGUGCUUAACACAUGCAAGUCGAACGGAAAGGCUCCUGCUUGCAGGGGUACUCGAGUGGCGAACGGGUGAGUAACACGUGGGUGAUCUGCCCUGCACUUCGGGAUAAGCCUGGGAAACUGGGUCUAAUACCGGAUAGGACCACAUUUUGGAUGGUGUGGUGGAAAGUUUUUCGGUGUUGGAUGAGCUCGCGGCCUAUCAGCUUGUUGGUGGGGUAAUGGCCUACCAAGGCGUCGACGGGUAGCCGGCCUGAGAGGGUGUACGGCCACAUUGGGACUGAGAUACGGCCCAGACUCCUACGGGAGGCAGCAGUGGGGAAUAUUGCACAAUGGGCGCAAGCCUGAUGCAGCGACGCCGCGUGGGGGAUGACGGCCUUCGGGUUGUAAACUCCUUUCGCUAGGGACGAAGCGCAAGUGACGGUACCUAGAGAAGAAGCACCGGCUAACUACGUG
This 465-nucleotide ribosomal RNA is filed under the name uncultured bacterium. RNAcentral's name for it is "partial 16S ribosomal RNA". It matches the Rfam family "Bacterial small subunit ribosomal RNA", at positions 28 to 507 of the family's 1533-position model. The record is from RNAcentral.